RNAcentral lists this ribosomal RNA (430 nucleotides) under Bacteroidota bacterium. RNAcentral describes it as "Bacteroidetes bacterium partial 16S ribosomal RNA". It matches the Rfam family "Bacterial small subunit ribosomal RNA", at positions 355 to 776 of the family's 1533-position model. Lineage: Bacteria; Pseudomonadati; Bacteroidota. The record is from RNAcentral.
UAGGGAAUCUUCGGCAAUGGGGGGAACCCUGACCGAGCAACGUCGCGUGAGUGAAGAAGGUUUUCGGAUCGUAAAGCUCUGUUGUUAAGGAAGAACGAGUGUGAGAAUGGAAAGUUCAUACUGUGACGGUACUUAACCAGAAAGGGACGGCUAACUACGUGCCAGCAGCCGCGGUAAUACGUAGGUCCCGAGCGUUGUCCGGAUUUAUUGGGCGUAAAGCGAGCGCAGGCGGUCAAUUAAGUCUGAUGUGAAAGCCCCCGGCUCAACCGGGGGAGGUCAUUGGAAACUGGUUAACUUGAGUGCAGAAGAGGAGAGUGGAAUUCCAUGUGUAGCGGUGAAAUGCGUAGAUAUAUGGAGGAACACCAGUGGCGAAAGCGGCUCUCUGGUCUGUAACUGACGCUGAGGCUCGAAAGCGUGGGGAGCGAACAGG